AUGGAAGCAUUGGUUUAUACGUUCCUUUUAGUUUCGACUUUAGGGAUAAUUUUUUUUGCUAUCUUCUUCCGAGAACCACCUAAGGUUCCACCAACUCCAACUAAAAGAAUAAAAUAA
Molecule: ribosomal RNA, 117 nt
Filed under: Triticum aestivum (bread wheat)
Lineage: Eukaryota; Viridiplantae; Streptophyta; Magnoliopsida; Poales; Poaceae
Description: partial small subunit ribosomal RNA
Source: RNAcentral